AUAAUAUAGAAGAAGAAGAAGAAGAAGAAGAAGAAGAUGCUUUAUUUCCAUAAAAUGGGCUCACAAGGAGCAUAAUAUAAUAUCAUUGUAAUAUAAUAUUCUUUUACAAAUAUAAUAAACAACACAUAGUUACAAACACAAAUAAGAAACAACAGUUAUCACAUAUUAGUAUAUAUAUAAAACCAUUGUCUCAGGCACACCUCUGGAAAGUAACAAAAAAGAAUACUGUGAGUAGGCUAAAUAUAUCUAGCUGAACUGCAAGAGGCACCAAGGGACGGUGCUAUAUGGCAUGGUGGGUUCAUAUUAAAAUGUGUAUCGGGAC
RNAcentral lists this long non-coding RNA (322 nucleotides) under Mytilus galloprovincialis (Mediterranean mussel). Lineage: Eukaryota; Metazoa; Mollusca; Bivalvia; Mytilida; Mytilidae. The record is from RNAcentral.